This 438-nucleotide ribosomal RNA is filed under the name Laetesia raveni. RNAcentral's name for it is "partial 16S ribosomal RNA". The record is from RNAcentral. Lineage: Eukaryota; Metazoa; Arthropoda; Arachnida; Araneae; Linyphiidae.
UUUYUUAUAAUUAUUUUUAUAAGUAAAAUCUGCUCAAUGUAAAAUAAAUAGCCGCAGAUAUUCUGUGCUAAGGUAGCAUAAUCAUUAGCUUUCUAAUUUAAGGCUGGAAUGAACGAUUUAACAUUUUAACAAAUUUUUUUAUUAUAAAAAUUUAAAUUUAAUUAAAUAUAAAAAUGUAUUUAUUCUUAAAAAAGACGAUAAGACCCUAUUGAACUUUACUAAAGUUAAGCUGGGGAAGCUAAUUAAAUAUAAUUUUAAUUUUUUUUAAAAAAAAAAUAUCCAAUUUAAUUGAUUUAACAAGUUACCAUAGGGAUAACAGCGUAAUAUUAUUUAAAAGUUCUUAUUUAAAAAAAAGUUUGCGACCUCGAUGUUGAAUUAAUUUAACUUUUAAACGUAAUAGUUUGAAAAGUGGGUCUGUUCRACCUUUAAACAAUUACA